This 499-nucleotide ribosomal RNA is filed under the name uncultured bacterium. RNAcentral's name for it is "partial 16S ribosomal RNA". It matches the Rfam family "Bacterial small subunit ribosomal RNA", at positions 28 to 507 of the family's 1533-position model. The record is from RNAcentral.
GACGAACGCUGGCGGCGUGCUUAACACAUGCAAGUCGAACGGGCCCGCCCCUGUUUUUGGGGGUGGGUUGAGUGGCGAACGGGUGAGUAUCCCGUGAGUAACCUGCCCCCUGCUCCUGGAUAACUGCUUGAAAGGGCGGCUAAUACGGGGUGUGCCGGCUGGUCCGCAUGGGCCUGGUCGGGAUAGUUUCAUCUUCGGGUGUUUCGGUGGGGGAUGGGCUCGCGGCCUAUCAGCUUGUUGGUGGGGUGAUGGCCAACCAAGGCGGUGACGGGUAGCCGGCCUGAGAGGGUGGGCGGCCACACUGGGACUGAGACACGGCCCAGACUCCUGCGGGAGGCAGCAGUGGGGGGUAUUGCACAAUGGGCGGAAGCCUGAGGCAGCGACGUCGCGUGAGGGAGGGAGGCCUUCGGGUUGUGAACCUCUUUCUCCGGUGGUGAAGGCCCUGUCCGUUGCGGCGGGGUUGACGGUAGCCGGGUAUGAAGCGCCGGCUAACUACGUG